AUGCACGCUGGCGGCGUGCUUAACACAUGCAAGUCGCACGCAGCACUUAAGAUUGAUUCUUCGGAUGACGUCUUUUGUGACUUAGUGGCGGACGGGUGAGUAACGCGUGGGUAACCUGCCUCACACAGGGGGAUAACAGUUAGAAAUGACUGCUAAUACCGCAUAACCCGAUAGGAUCGCAUGAUCCAGACGGAAAAGAUUUAUCGGUGUGAGAUGGACCCGCGUCUGAUUAGCUAGUUGGUGAGGUAACGGCCCACCAAGGCGACGAUCAGUAGCCGGCCUGAGAGGGUGAACGGCCACAUUGGGACUGAGACACGGCCCAAACUCCUACGGGAGGCAGCAGUGGGGAAUAUUGCACAAUGGGGGAAACCCUGAUGCAGCGACGCCGCGUGAGUGAAGAAGUAUUUCGGUAUGUAAAGCUCUAUCAGCAGGGAAGAAAAUGACGGUACCUGACGAAGAAGCCCCGGCUAACUACGUG
This 478-nucleotide ribosomal RNA is filed under the name uncultured bacterium. RNAcentral describes it as "partial 16S ribosomal RNA". It matches the Rfam family "Bacterial small subunit ribosomal RNA", at positions 29 to 507 of the family's 1533-position model. The record is from RNAcentral.